AGAGUUUGAUCAUGGCUCAGGAUGAACGUUGGCGGUGUGCCUAAUACAUGCAAGUCGAACGGAGUUAAUAGCAAUAUUGACUUAGUGGCGAACGGGUGAGUAACGCGUUGGUGAUCUGCCUCGAAGUGUGGAAUAACGUUCCGAAAGGAACGCUAAUACCGCAUGUGCUCUCGAUUUUUAGAAACUUGAGAGUAAAGGAUUUAUUCGCUUCGAGAGGAGCCUGCGUCCCAUCAGCUGGUUGGUAGGGUAACGGCCUACCAAGGCUAUGACGGGUAGGGGACCUGAGAGGGUGGCCCCCCACAAUGGAACUGAAACACGGUCCAUACACCUACGGGUGGCAGCAGUAGGGAAUAUUAGAAAUGGACGAAAGUCUGAUCUAGCAACACCGCGUGUGCGAAGAAGGCCUUCGGGUCGUAAAGCACUUUUUGGAAGGAAUAGGAAGGAAUGUACUUCCGGAAUAAGUCUCGGCUAACUACGUGCCAGCAGCCGCGGUAACACGUAGGAGGCAAACGUUAUCCGGAUUUACUGGGCGUAAAGCGCGUGUAGGUGGUACUGUAAGUAGGGCGUGAAAGCUCCCGGCUCAACUGGGAGAGGCCGUUCUAAACUGCAGAACUAGAGGAUGGUAGAGGGAGGUGGAAUUCCAGGUGUAGCGGUGGAAUGCGCAGAUAUCUGGAGGAACACCAGUGGCGAAGGCGGCCUCCUGGACCAUUCCUGACACUCAGACGCGAAAGCUAGGGUAGCAAACGGGAUUAGAGACCCCGGUAGUCCUAGCCCUAAACGAUGUAGACUAGGCGUCGGUGGUUUAAUCACCAUCGGUGUCCAAGCUAACGCGAUAAGUCUACCGCCUGGGGACUACGGCCGCAAGGUUAAAACUCAAAUGAAUUGACGG
Molecule: ribosomal RNA, 889 nt
Filed under: Chloroflexi bacterium enrichment culture clone B31153
Lineage: Bacteria; Bacillati; Chloroflexota
Description: bacterial SSU rRNA
Rfam family: Bacterial small subunit ribosomal RNA
Source: RNAcentral